CUCUCCGCAAGCUUGCUUGCAGUCUCCUCCUCUCCCUGGGAUGCCCGUGGAAACACAGAAACAGUAAAAAGAGAAAUGAUAGCUCUUACUGCAUUUUUGGGCUUGGCACUGGCUGUAAUACCCAUGGCCCUUAGCAUCCUAUCUGCUGUUUCAUCCACUGCAGCAGCUGCGAAGAGUUUGCAUUUCAUGGUGGAGUUUAAAGUUUGCCCUAAGUGAUGCUGUGAACUCUUGUUGAGAAAGAUCUUUCCUCCCAUGUUAUGUAAAUGAACACGUGUUCCUGUGCUCUCAACCUGGGUGAAGCAAAUGCUCCGUCGUGCAACAGUGUGGUCUGAAAAUGUGACGCUGUGUGUGGCCUGGGUCUUCUGAUCAGCCUGUUGAUCUGCUGAGAAACCACUUUUGAAGACUGGCGAGCGUUAUAUAACACUGGAUUUGAACUCCCAUUUAGAAAAUGGGAGCAGAAGAAACGGGCAAAUAUCACUGAUCUUGACAAAUUUGAGUGGAGCAGCGAGCAGGACCCUGCGUGGGCUGAAAGCGCUCGCUCYUGCGCAGUGCUCGGCAGCAGGGGGGAGGAAGGGUUUAACCAGGCGUCCGGACCUGCCCAGACCCGGGACUAUUGAACCACCGUUUGGUAGAAAUGCAGCUUUGCUUAAUUUUCUCAUAUUUUUUUUGUGUGCUUAAUUUAUUAAAAUAGUUGCUGUAUAAUUUAUUUUCAUAAA
This 716-nucleotide long non-coding RNA is filed under the name Apteryx rowi (Okarito brown kiwi). RNAcentral describes it as "lncRNA (ENSARWG00000018351.1)". The record is from RNAcentral. Lineage: Eukaryota; Metazoa; Chordata; Aves; Apterygiformes; Apterygidae.